GCAUUGGUAGUUCAGUGGCAGAAUUCUUGCCUUCCAUUCGGGAGACCAGCAUUCAAUUCCUGGCCAAUGCA
RNAcentral lists this transfer RNA (71 nucleotides) under Loxodonta africana (African savanna elephant). It matches the Rfam family "tRNA". From Rfam's summary of the family: Transfer RNA (tRNA) molecules are approximately 80 nucleotides in length. Lineage: Eukaryota; Metazoa; Chordata; Mammalia; Proboscidea; Elephantidae. The record is from Rfam by way of RNAcentral.